Molecule: non-coding RNA, 2164 nt
Organism: Macaca mulatta (Rhesus monkey)
Lineage: Eukaryota; Metazoa; Chordata; Mammalia; Primates; Cercopithecidae
Source: RefSeq, a predicted model, not a curated record
UGACGGGCAUUUUUUUACCAUCUACAGAAACUUAUUGUAAUUCAUUUUUCCUCACUCCAGUAGUAAGAAUUACACCAAAUUGAAAAGAUAUGAAUGAGUAUCCUAAAAAAAGAAAAAGGAAGACUCAACACCCUUCUCGUUAUUCAGAUUCCUCUGGAAUAAGCAGAAUUGCAGAUGGAUUCAAUGGAAUUUUCUCUGAUCAUCGUUACAUGUCUGUUCCUUGAGACAGCCAGAUUUAAAAUAUUUUGACAACAAAGAUGAUGAUUCUGAUACCAAGACAUCAAACGACUUGCCAAAAUUUGCAGAUGGAAUCAAGGCCAGAAACAGAAAUCAGAACUACCUGGUUCCCAGUCCUGUACUUAGAAUUCUAGACCACACUGCCUUUUCUACAGAAAAAUCUGCUGGUAUUGAAAUUUGUGAUGAAGAGUGUGACUCACCUGAAUCAGUCAACCAGCAAACCCAAGAGGAGAGUCCUAUAGAAGUUCACACUACUGAAGAUGUUCCAAUUGCUGUAGAAGUGCAUGCGAUUUCUGAGGAUUAUGAUAUAGAGACAGAAAACAAUUCCUCUGAGAGUCUCCAAGAUCAUACUGAUGAAGAACCACCAGCUAAACUUUGUAAAAUUCUUGACAAGAGCCAAGUUUGAAUGUGACUGCCCAGCAGAAAUGGCCUUUACUGAGAGCUGAUAGCAGUGGCCUCUAUAAAUGUGAACUUUGUGAGUUUAACAGCAAAUAUUUUUCUGACUUAAAGCAGCAUAUGAUCCUGAAGCAUAAAUGUACUGAUUCAAAUGUGUGUCGAGUGUGCAAGGAAAGUUUCUCUACCAAUAUGCUUCUGAUAGAACAUGCCAAACUACAUGAAGAGGAUCCCUACAUUUGUAAAUACUGUGACUAUAAGACAGUAAUUUUUGAGAACCUCAGUCAGCACAUUGCAGACUCCCAUUUUAGUGAUCACCUCUAUUGGUGUGAACAGUGUGAUGUACAGUUCUCCUCAAGCAGUGAACUCUACCUACGUUUCCAGGAGCACAGCUGUGAUGAACAGUACUUGUGUCAGUUCUGUGAACAUGAAACUGAUGAUCCGGAAGACUUGCAUAGCCAUGUGGUAAAUGAGCAUGCAUGUAAAUUAAUAAAGUUAUAAGUAUAACAAUGGAGAACAUGGACAGUAUAGCCUCUUAAGCAAAAUUACCUUUGACAAAUGUAAAAACGUCUUUGUAUGGCAAGUAUGUGGUUUUCGGAGUAGAUGUCAUACAAAUGUUAACGGGCAUGUUGCUAUUGAACAUACUAAAAUUUUUCUUCAUGUUUGUGAUGACCGUGGGAAAGGCUUUUCAAGUAUGCUAGAAUAUUGCAAGCAUUUAAAUUCACAUUUAUCUGAAGGGAUUUAUGUCAAUAUUGUGAAUAUUCAACAGGACAAAUUGAAGAUCUUAAAAUUCAUCUAGAUUUCAAGCAUUCAGCUGACUUAUCUCAUAAAUGUAGUGACUGCUUGAUGAGGUUUGGAAAUGAAAGGGAAUUAAGUCACCUUCCAGUCCAUGAGACAACUUGAUUACUCUCUUUAACUUACAGAAUGUUAAUUUAAAAUAAUAAAUUUAGCCUUUUUUUGGAGAUGAUUAAAUGGAUAAUUGUAAACACAACUUAUGAAAUUUGCCUUUAACAAGUAACUUUUGUAAAUUAUAAAAUCUUUUUGGCAUUGCUCCAUUUUCAGUAUAUAAAUAUAUCUUUAAUGUGGUAUUUUCAAUUGCAUGAUAGUUUGUAGUUUUAACCACUCUUGGUGACUGUCAUCCUGUUUCUUGCAUGUGCUCGAUUUCAUGAAUUGAAAAGAAACAAAUGUAUUGAAAUGAGCUGCAGUUUUCCUUCCUUAACCAUGGGUGCUAGUAACUUUUUCUUUUUAAAACUCAAGACAAGAUUAGUUUUUUUGGUGUAUGAAGUCAUGAAAUUAUUAUAUGACCAGAACUAAAAUGCAAUAUACAAUUAAAUCCAUGGAUACUCCCAUUAAUAAGAAAUAACACUAGGAGGCCACUAUUAUCACAGGAAGAAAAGAUUUGGUUUUCAUGGCAGUCUGUUUUUUUAAAAAAAUUUUUUGAGCUCCUAUCUAUUGUUGAAUAUUUUAAGACAGGAUGAGGGAGGAACUAAUUAAUAAGGGCUUACACAAUAAUAAAUAACUGUAUCAUAACUCA